GGACUACUCGGGUAUCUAAUCCCAUUCGCGACCCACGCUUUCGUGCUUCAGCGUCAGGAGCGGACCAGUCUCUUGCCUUCGCUUUUGGUGUUCCCCAUGAUAUCAACGCAUUUCACCGCUACACCAUGAGUUCCAGAGACCUCUUCCGUCCUCAAGCAAUGCCGUUUCCCACGCAGCCUCUCGGUUGAGCCGAGAGAUUUAACGCAAGACUAACAUCGCCGCCUACGCACCCUUUACGCCCAAUGAUUCCGGAUAACGCUUGAAGCACUCGUAUUACCGCGGCUGCUGGCAC
This 292-nucleotide ribosomal RNA is filed under the name uncultured bacterium. RNAcentral describes it as "partial 16S ribosomal RNA". The record is from RNAcentral.